Cinara cedri is the source of this 540-nucleotide non-coding RNA. NCBI's taxonomy places the organism in Eukaryota, Metazoa, Arthropoda, Insecta, Hemiptera, Aphididae. The record is from the annotation of a GenBank genome assembly.
CUCUUCGGGCGCCUACGGGGCGAGAUACUUGAAUAUCUCCCGUAGACACCCGACACCGCGGAUACAUUAUGUCGGCCCAAGUACCUCUGCCCGUAUUACGACGGUACAACACAAUCGGCGUCGAGGUUUGGUUCAGUGGCGUAGCCGGCGGGCAGGCCCGGUAGGCCCGGGGGCCCACCCACUUUUCUCCGAAAAUUAACACGAUUUCAAAAUCAAAACUCUGCAUUUGCAUAAAAGUCGUUUCUAUUCGAACGUUUACAUUAUUUUAUCCGGCGCGUUUCGUUCUCGAAAUCCCGCGUACGGCUCUGGAAAGUGAACGACGCGCGUUACGUUUUCGCCGCGAAAACCUGUACGGACGGCGACGAAUAAAACGCCGAAAAAACCUUUGUCGAUAAUCGGAGAACAGAAGAAAAUGAAAGUAAAAAGAAAAAAACGACCUACGAGCAUACGCGCGCGCGACGAUCGUGUUAAGCCGCCGUCAAAGUCACCGCGGCGGCCGGACAAGAACACACGCGCUCGCGGACGGACGACGGAGGCGGC